Molecule: unclassified non-coding RNA, 601 nt
Filed under: Hevea brasiliensis (rubber tree)
Lineage: Eukaryota; Viridiplantae; Streptophyta; Magnoliopsida; Malpighiales; Euphorbiaceae
Source: RNAcentral
CCUUGAUCAAUUUUCUGUUGACCAUUCUAGAUCGAGAUGAUUCAACACUUCCACUAGUAGAAGUGCCUGUGCUCUUACUAGUAGAAGUGCUUGUGCCUUCUAAGUCUUGUAUUGCUUGUUUCAAGCCCUCAACGACCUCGGCCAUAGUUGGCCGAUCUUUUGGAUUCUUGUUCAGACAGCUAUCUGCCAAUUUAGCAAUUUUCUUCGCUGACACGAUAGAGUAAUCAUUUCUAAGCCGUGGGUCCAAUAUCAUGCUGAACCUUUUACUGUCAGCUGGAAACUGUUUCACCCAAUCAAGAAGCUUCUGUUCAAUUGUUGGCCGGUUUCUUUCCAAAGUUCGCCUACCUGUAAGGAUNNNNNNNUUCAUACAGCACCACACCAAAGGUCCAUAGAUCACUGUGGCUUGUGAGGUGACCUGUCUCGAACAUAUUCUGGGGCAGCAUACCCAUAUGUACCAACCACCCCUGUGGAUACAUGAGUACGGUCACCUGUUGGCCCUUCUCUAGCAAGCCCAAAAUCAGAGAGUUUUGGUUUAAAGUUUACGUCCAACAGCACAUUUGAGGAUUUGAAAUCUCGAUAUAUCACCUGGACUUCCAUUCCC